Molecule: ribosomal RNA, 421 nt
Filed under: uncultured bacterium
Lineage: Bacteria
Description: bacterial SSU rRNA
Rfam family: Bacterial small subunit ribosomal RNA
Source: RNAcentral
CCUGGCUCAGAACGAACGUUAGCGGCGCGCUUAACACAUGCAAGUCGUGCGAGAAAGGGGCAACCCCGGUAAAGCGGCGCACGGGUGAGUAACACGUAGGUAAUCUACCUCCAGGUGGUGGAUAACCUUCCGAAAGGAGGGCUAAUACAGCAUGAGACCACGAUUUCGAAAGAGAUUGAGGUCAAAGUCGGCCUCUUCAUGAAAGCUGACGCCAGGAGAUGAGCCUGCGGCCCAUCACGGUAGUUGGUAGGGUAAUGGCCUACCAAGCCAAAGACGGGUAGCUGGUCUGAGAGGAUGAUCAGCCACACUGGAACUGAGACACGGUCCAGACUCCUACGGGAGGCAGCAGUGGGGAAUCUUGCGCAAUGGGCGAAAGCCUGACGCAGCGACGCCGCGUGAGUGAUGAAGGCCUCGGUGUAAG